UCCAAGUCCCCACUCGACCCAGGAAGUCAGGCUGGCUUCACCUGUCACUUACAUCAUCAUUUUUAGUGCUGUCACCUCUGUCCUUCUUUCUUCAUCCCUAAAGGCAUAGUUGGCUUACAACCUGUGCUGUAUUGACUCUUCCCUUUUUCUCCCCUGGGUUUUUUUUUUUCCCUCUCCCUUAAUUUGCUCCCAGAAAAUACCACGUGUCAGGGCUGGGUAAAGAUGCAAGUGUCCAGUUUGGUCAGUAUUUAGAAGAUGAGAAUAAUUGAAGGUCAGACUUGACCUUUUCUUCAAUGCUUCCCCAAAUUCCAAAUUAUUUUCUGCCUGAGGGAAGGAAAAGCAUUGCCUCCUGCCAGAGACAGCCAAGAUGCUGCAGAAGCAACAGCUGGCCAGAAGUGAUUUUCUGUGAUUUUCCCUUCCUGUGGAGCAUGCCAGUCAUAGAAAUGGAGCAUUAUGUUUCUAGGGAUGCUUGCUCUUGGAAGUUGGCCACCAUGCUGUAAGGAAGUCCAGGCCACAUGGAGAAGCCAUGUAUAGAUGUUCGAGCCAACAAUCCCAGCUGAGGUCCUAACCAAAAGCCGUCAUCAACCACCAGAUACAUAAGUGAGACCUUGAGAUGACUCUAGCCUAAGCAGUAUCAGACUGAAACUACAAGAGAGAUUUGAGCAAGAAGCACCAAGUUGAGCCCAGUCCACCUCCAGAACCUUAACAGAUAAUAAUAUAUUGUUAUUUUACAUCACUAAGUUUAGAGUGUUUUGUUACACUGAAAUAGAUAACUGAUACAUAGUUGGAUAGUACAUUGUAAUUUAUAAAGCACUUUUACUUUCAUUCUCAUAACUCUCACAAUCUUGUGGAUGUAGAUAAGAAGAUUCUUUAUGCAGAGGAAAAAGCUGGAGCUCUGAGAGUUAGGAAUCUGGGAUUAUAAAUAUGAGAGAACUGGCCUAUAUCCUAUUUCAGGUACUAUUAAUAGCUACAUGCUCUUAGACAGUUUACUUAAAUUUUGAAAGACUGUUUCUUUAUCUGUAAAAUGGGUAUAAUGUUACCAACCUUACAGGGCUGAGCAAUGGGUUGUCUAAUGCAUGUGAAGUCAUUAGCACCACCUCAUCUCAAUAAAUGUUUCUGGUUUGGGGGCCCAAUACCUUGGAGGUAGUCUUGACUCCUUUUUUUAUCCCUCACAUUAAACCCUCAGCAUAUUGUAGCAGCUCCAGCUUCAGAAUACAUGAAGAACCCCAUGACUUCUCCCAAUCUCCACUGGUCCAAGCCCCUAUCAUCCCUCCCCUUCACUAGGGCAAUUGUCCCUAUGAUCUUCCUGCUCUACCCUUGCCUCCACAUGAGUCUGUUUUCCAUACAGCUGCAGAAGUGACCCAGCAAUCAUGGGAUCGGGUUGUGUCAUGCCUAUGGCUUCCCAUUCAGCAUAUUCUAGCCGCUCCAGCUGCAGAAUACAUGAAGAACCACAUGCCUCCUCAUUCCACUCAGAGCAAAAAGUCCCAACAGGAAACAGCCAGGCCUGUGUGCAUAAUCUGCUCCCUGUUAUCUCUCCCACCUCAUCUUCUUCCACUUUUUCCCCUUGCUCGCUCCCCUUCUGCCUUGCUGGCCUCCUUACUUCUCAAAAGGACCAGGCCUGUUCCAGCCUCAGGUCCUUUGCAGUUGCUCUUCCCUGUACCUGAGAGACUUUUUCUCCAGGCAUCUACCGGGCUCAUCCAUCCCUUCUUUGGAGACUUUACUCAAAUGGUAGCUCUUACUAAGGCUUUCAAAGACCAUCUUAUUUAAAACUGCCACCUUCCAGUACUCCAGCACUCCCAUCCUCCUCCCUAAUUUACUUUCUCUCUAGUGCUCAUCAUCAUCAGACAUUCCAUAUGCUUCGACUUAUUUAUCUGUCUGUCUCCAACGAUACCCAAUAGAGAGUGGCUUUAUGAGAGCAAAAAUCUCUGUCAUUUUUUUUUGUUACUUAAGUCUGAGAACCUAGAACAGUGUAUUUGUUCAUCAUAAAUGAGUGCUUGACAACUGAUUUAAAAUUUUCUUAAAGGAUAGCUAUUGUCAUAUUAUUAGAAUUGAAACCCAAGUUUUCUGACUUCUACCUGUAUAUCCACUUAGUGGGUUGAAUAAUUGGCAUCCUCAAAAGAUAUGCCACCUCCUAAACCUCAUAACCUGUGAAAGUGGCCUUUUUUGGUAAAAAGGUCUUGGCAGAUGUAAUUAAGGAUUUUAAGAUGAAAUCAUCCUGAAUUUAGCAUGAUCCCUAAAUCCAAUGACAGAUUUCCUUAUAAGAAGAAAAAAGGCAUAGAGAUUCAAGAGGAGAUGACCAUGUAAAGAGGGAGGCAGAGAUUGGAGUAAUGCAUCUGCAAGUCAAGAAACAUGAAGGACUGCCAUGCAGCCACCAAAAGCUAGGAGAGAGACAUGAACUGAUUCCUUCUCAGAGCCUCCAGAAGGAACCAACCCUGCCAGCACCUUCAUUUUGGACUUCUAGCUUCUACAACUAUAAGAGAUUACAUUUCUGUUAUAAGCCCAGUUUUGUUACAGCAGCUCUCAGAAACUAAUACAUCUGCUACACCCUGAUGUCUCCUUGGAGACCAAAUUGGUCUCCAACUCAGCCUGGCAAUCUAGACUUGAGCUUAUUCUGCCGUCAGGCCUCAUUGUAAACUGUAUGCCAUUUUUCCAUGUGGACAAGCACCUUGGCACAGCCUCUACUGUAGUCUGGGUACCACGUUGGCCACUUCUCUCACCAGCCCAGUCUGACCUCUGAUCUUGAUGCUUCCCAGCUUCUCCUGACCAUGGUUCAGUGCUGCUGCACGUGGCUGAUAAGGUUCCUUGGUCCUGCCUGUGUGCCUGUAUUUCCAAUUAACAUCUCUAGACCUAAGUGGGCUGCACAAAAUACAGCAUUCAGAACCAGAACAAAUUGUCUUUUGAGUCCCAGCCAACUGUCUGUGGAUCACCCAGGGCUCCAUACCAGCUGGUGAUCUCACUGCCCCUCUGAACCUUCUGGCCAGACUGCAUUAAUAAACUGCUGAAAGAACCUUGGGUUCCUGUAACUUUUUCCAGGCUGAUGUCUACUGUGAUGUUUAAUUUAUGUUGUUAAGAAAUAGAAGAAGUGCACUCCUUCCUGCUUAAAAUGUUUAUGUCAGCCGAGAUCUGGCACUGUUUUUCCUGUAUCAUGAAGAAAGAGCAUUAGGAGGAAGAUUUUCUCUCUGAAUCCAGAAAGGUUUAGCAACAUCCUCCUCCAAACAGGUUGGGACAACAUCAUUUCAGAUUUCCCAAAACUUCUGGAUAGAUGUGGACUCCCUUGCACAAACUGGUACCCAAAUGUCAAAACUUCUUUCUUCUUAACCUGCAAACAGGGAUUGGCAACUAAACAGAUAGAUUUCAAAAUAUCUUCUGUUUCCUGUUAACCAAGUUGUCAUGCUCCCAACCUACCCUAAUUUGUCAACUCUUCCCUCAAUUCAGGCAAGAUGAAGCAAGGGACACCC
This 3458-nucleotide long non-coding RNA is filed under the name Homo sapiens (human). RNAcentral describes it as "HSALNT0312325". The record is from RNAcentral. Lineage: Eukaryota; Metazoa; Chordata; Mammalia; Primates; Hominidae.